RNAcentral lists this ribosomal RNA (537 nucleotides) under Ascomycota sp. 3/2/2001. Its description in RNAcentral is "eukaryotic LSU rRNA". The stretch from base 156 to 309 matches the Rfam family "5.8S ribosomal RNA". The record is from RNAcentral. Lineage: Eukaryota; Fungi; Ascomycota.
GGCUUCGGUCUGCUGCCUCGGGCGCCCACCUCCCACCCGUGACUACCUAACACUGUUGCUUCGGCGGGGAGCCCUCUCGGGGGCGAGCCGCCGGGGACUACUGAACUUCAUGCCUGAGAGUGAUGCAGUCUGAGUCUGAAUAUAAAAUCAGUCAAAACUUUCAACAAUGGAUCUCUUGGUUCCGGCAUCGAUGAAGAACGCAGCGAACUGCGAUAAGUAAUGUGAAUUGCAGAAUUCAGUGAAUCAUCGAGUCUUUGAACGCACAUUGCGCCCCCUGGCAUUCCGGGGGGCAUGCCUGUCCGAGCGUCAUUGCUGCCCAUCAAGCCCGGCUUGUGUGUUGGGUCGUCGUCCCCCCCGGGGGACGGGCCCGAAAGGCAGCGGCGGCACCGUGUCCGGUCCUCGAGCGUAUGGGGCUUUGUCACCCGCUCGAUUAGGGCCGGCCGGGCGCCAGCCGACGUCUCCAACCAUUUUCUUCAGGUUGACCUCGGAUCAGGUAGGGAUACCCGCUGAACUUAAGCAUAUCAAUAAGCGAAGGAA